Molecule: ribosomal RNA, 471 nt
Filed under: uncultured organism
Description: partial 16S ribosomal RNA
Rfam family: Bacterial small subunit ribosomal RNA
Source: RNAcentral
CACUCCUGCGGGAGGCAGCAGUGGGGAAUUUUGGACAAUGGGCGAAAGCCUGAUCCAGCAAUGCCGCGUGAGUGAAGAAGGCCUUCGGGUUGUAAAGCUCUUUUGUCAGGGAAGAAACGGUGAGAGCUAAUAUCUUUUGCUAAUGACGGUACCUGAAGAAUAAGCACCGGCUAACUACGUGCCAGCAGCCGCGGUAAUACGUAGGGUGCAAGCGUUAAUCGGAAUUACUGGGCGUAAAGCGUGCGCAGGCGGUUUUGUAAGUCUGAUGUGAAAUCCCCGGGCUCAACCUGGGAAUUGCAUUGGAGACUGAAAGGCUAGAAUCUGGAAGAGGGGGGUAGAAUUCCACGUGUAGCAGUGAAAUGCGUAGAUAUGUGGAGGAACACCGAUGGCGAAGGCAGCCCCCUGGGUCAAGAUUGACGCUCAUGCACGAAAGCGUGGGGAGCAAACAGGAUUAGAUACCCCUGUAGUCCC